This 450-nucleotide ribosomal RNA is filed under the name uncultured bacterium. Its description in RNAcentral is "partial 16S ribosomal RNA". It matches the Rfam family "Bacterial small subunit ribosomal RNA", at positions 354 to 796 of the family's 1533-position model. The record is from RNAcentral.
GUGGGGAAUUUUGGACAAUGGGCGCAAGCCUGAUCCAGCAAUGCCGCGUGCAGGAAGAAGGCCUUCGGGUUGUAAACUGCUUUUGUACGGAACGAAACGGUCCGGGUUAAUACCCUGGGCUAAUGACGGUACCGUAAGAAUAAGCACCGGCUAACUACGUGCCAGCAGCCGCGGUAAUACGUAGGGUGCAAGCGUUAAUCGGAAUUACUGGGCGUAAAGCGUGCACAGGCGGUUUUGUAAGACAGGCGUGAAAUCCCCGGGCUCAACCUGGGAAUUGCGCUUGUGACGGCAAGGCUGGAGUGCGGCAGAGGGGGAUGGAAGUCCGCGUGUAGCAGUGAAAUGCGUAGAUAUGCGGAGGAACACCGAUGGCGAAGGCAAUCCCCUGGGCCUGCACUGACGCUCAUGCACGAAAGCGUGGGGAGCAAACAGGAUUAGAAACCCCGGUAGUCC